UUUUUUGGAGUCAAAUAUGACUUGAUGUCAUGUGUAUGAUUGAGUAUAAGAACUAGAACCGCAACCGUUUCCCAAAAGCUAAAGUAGUGUUUCCUUGUUAGAACAUACAAAGCAAAAGAAUCAUAUGGACUUCUGCUACACCAUCAAAGCUUUGAGGAACAAUAAGAAAAGCUUUGUUAUGGUUUUGGAGUCACAUAUGACUAGAUGUCAUGUGUAUGAUUGAGUAUAAGAACUAGAACCAUAACUGAUUCCCAAAAGCUAAAGUAAUGUUUCCUUGUUAGAAGAUACAAAGCUAAAAACUCAUACGGACUUCGGCUAAGCCAUCAAAAUUUUGAGAAGCAAUAAGAAGCUUGGUUAGUGUUUUGGAGUCAAAUAUGACUAGAUGUCAUGUGUAUGAUUGAGUAUAAGAACUAGAACCGCAACCGUUUCCCAAAAGCUAAAGUAGUAUUUCCUUGUUAGAAGCUACAAAGCCAAAGACUCAUACGGACUUCGGCUACACCAUCAAAGUUUUGAGAAGCAAUAAGAAGCUUGGUUAGUAUUUUGGAGUCAAAUAAGACAAGAUGUUAUGUGUUUGAUUGAGUAUAAGAACUAGAACCGCAACAUCUUCCCAAAAGCUAAAGUUGUGUUUCCCUUCUAGAAGAUACAAAGCCAAAAACUCAUACGGACUUUGGCUACACCAUCAAAGCUUUAAGAAGCAACAAGAAGUUUGGUUAGUGUUUUGGAGUAAAAAAAGACUAUA
RNAcentral lists this small RNA (739 nucleotides) under Arabidopsis thaliana (thale cress). RNAcentral's name for it is "ATSL197250". Lineage: Eukaryota; Viridiplantae; Streptophyta; Magnoliopsida; Brassicales; Brassicaceae. The record is from RNAcentral.